RNAcentral lists this ribosomal RNA (1353 nucleotides) under Vibrio comitans. RNAcentral describes it as "bacterial SSU rRNA". It matches the Rfam family "Bacterial small subunit ribosomal RNA", at positions 91 to 1446 of the family's 1533-position model. The record is from RNAcentral. Lineage: Bacteria; Pseudomonadati; Pseudomonadota; Gammaproteobacteria; Vibrionales; Vibrionaceae.
GUCGAGCUCGGACGGGUGAGUAAUGCCUGGGAAAUUGCCCUGAUGUGGGGGAUAACCAUUGGAAACGAUGGCUAAUACCGCAUAAUGUCUACGGACCAAAGAGGGGGACCUUCGGGCCUCUCGCUUCAGGAUAUGCCCAGGUGGGAUUAGCUAGUUGGUGAGGUAAUGGCUCACCAAGGCGACGAUCCCUAGCUGGUCUGAGAGGAUGAUCAGCCACACUGGAACGACACGGUCCAGACUCCUACGGGAGGCAGCAGUGGGGAAUAUUGCACAAUGGGCGCAAGCCUGAUGCAGCCAUGCCGCGUGUAUGAAGAAGGCCUUCGGGUUGUAAAGUACUUUCAGUCGUGAGGAAGGCGUUGAAGUUAAUAGCUGUGUCGUUUGACGUUAGCGACAGAAGAAGCACCGGCUAACUCCGUGCCAGCAGCCGCGGUAAUACGGAGGGUGCGAGCGUUAAUCGGAAUUACUGGGCGUAAAGCGCAUGCAGGUGGUUUGUUAAGUCAGAUGUGAAAGCCCGGGGCUCAACCUCGGAACCGCAUUUGAAACUGGCAGGCUAGAGUACUGUAGAGGGGGGUAGAAUUUCAGGUGUAGCGGUGAAAUGCGUAGAGAUCUGAAGGAAUACCAGUGGCGAAGGCGGCCCCCUGGACAGAUACUGACACUCAGAUGCGAAAGCGUGGGGAGCAAACAGGAUUAGAUACCCUGGUAGUCCACGCCGUAAACGAUGUCUACUUGGAGGUUGUGGCCUUGAGCCGUGGCUUUCGGAGCUAACGCGUUAAGUAGACCGCCUGGGAGUACGGUCGCAAGAUUAAAACUCAAAUGAAUUGACGGGGGCCCGCACAAGCGGUGGAGCAUGUGGUUUAAUUCGAUGCAACGCGAAGAACCUUACCUACUCUUGACAUCCAGAGAAUCGCUAGAGAUAGCUUGGUGCCUUCGGGAACUCUGAGACAGGUGCUGCAUGGCUGUCGUCAGCUCGUGUUGUGAAAUGUUGGGUUAAGUCCCGCAACGAGCGCAACCCUUAUCCUUGUUUGCCAGCACGUAAUGGUGGGAACUCCAGGGAGACUGCCGGUGAUAAACCGGAGGAAGGUGGGGACGACGUCAAGUCAUCAUGGCCCUUACGAGUAGGGCUACACACGUGCUACAAUGGCGCAUACAGAGGGCAGCCAACCAGCGAUGGUGAGCGAAUCCCAAAAAGUGCGUCGUAGUCCGGAUUGGAGUCUGCAACUCGACUCCAUGAAGUCGGAAUCGCUAGUAAUCGUGAAUCAGAAUGUCACGGUGAAUACGUUCCCGGGCCUUGUACACACCGCCCACACACCAUGGGAGUGGGCUGCAAAAGAAGUGGGUAGUUUAAUCCUUCGG